RNAcentral lists this ribosomal RNA (468 nucleotides) under uncultured bacterium. RNAcentral describes it as "partial 16S ribosomal RNA". It matches the Rfam family "Bacterial small subunit ribosomal RNA", at positions 28 to 507 of the family's 1533-position model. The record is from RNAcentral.
GACGAACGCUGGCGGCGUGCUUAACACAUGCCAGUCGAACGGAAAGGCCCUGCUUUUGUGGCGUUCUCGUUUGGCGAACGGGUGAGUAACACGUGAGUAACCUGCCCUUGACUUUGGGAUAACUUCAGGGAACUGGGUCUAAUACCGGAGAGAAUCUCCUGCUGCAUGGUGGUGGUUGGAAAGAUUCGGCGUUUGGGGAUGGACUCGCUGCUUAUCAGCUUGUUUGUGAGGUAGGUGCUUACCACGGUUUUGACGGGUAGGCGGCCUGAGAGGGGUACCGGCCACAUUGGGACUGAGGUACGGACCAGAAUGCUAUGGGACGCAGCAGUGGGGAAUAUUGCACAAUGGGGGGAAGCGUGAUGCAGCAACGCCGCGUGCGGGAUGCCGGCCUUUGGGUUGUAAACCGAUUUCGAAUGUGACGAAGCGUGAGUGACGGUAAUGGGUAAAGAAGCAACGGCUAACUACGUG